This 161-nucleotide non-coding RNA is filed under the name Trichobilharzia regenti. Its description in RNAcentral is "Eukaryotic large subunit ribosomal RNA". It matches the Rfam family "Eukaryotic large subunit ribosomal RNA", at positions 2826 to 2984 of the family's 3401-position model. The record is from Rfam by way of RNAcentral. Lineage: Eukaryota; Metazoa; Platyhelminthes; Trematoda; Strigeidida; Schistosomatidae.
AUAAUCAGCUUGUGAUUGCCCAGCCUUCAUAGUGAGGUAGCUUUCUGAUCCCUAUAUGUUGGCUCUCCGUAUUAAUGUGAAACAAAACUCAUCAAGCGUUGACUUGUUCACCCACUAAUAAAAAACAUGUGCUGGCUCUAGACCAAAUUGAGAAAGGUGUU